This is a long non-coding RNA of Mustela erminea (ermine), 1761 nucleotides long. RefSeq lists it as uncharacterized. The transcript has 3 exons. The record is from RefSeq and is a predicted model, not a curated record. Lineage: Eukaryota; Metazoa; Chordata; Mammalia; Carnivora; Mustelidae.
CUUGUUUUGUUUUCUCAAUUUCCUUGUCAACUGACUCAGGAUUUUAAAAAUGUCAAUUUCAAUCAAUUUCAACUCCGCAGAACAGAAAACUAGAGAAUUUAUAGGCAACUAUUGGAAACAAAGGAACCAUCUGGUUUUUUAAAUAUAAUUCUUCUCCGAAGUUCCCUCCAAGUACUAAGAUCAUUUAUUUUUCCUCGCUGCAUCCCUGUAAAUAUUCCUAUUUUCCCCUAGAGCCUCUGUGCCCAACUCAGGUGGGUUUCUUUGAAAAGCCCACCCUUGCGGGGGGUGGGGUGGUCUUCCCAUCCAGAAGGCCUGUGGGGUAACAGGGACAUCUGUCUCUGAUGUGGGGAGGGCUUUGUUAUGGGAAGCAGCUCCACGACUAGUGGAGGUCAUCCAACCCUGGUUACUCUGGUUCAUUUGUCAUUUUGUAGUGACAGUUUUCACUUUCCUCCAGGAAUCUCCAGGGAGGUUUUACAACAUUGUGACUAAAACUCAGUCAUGUGCUGAUAGCUUCCCCAGACUAAAGAUUUCCGUGCCCCAAAGCCAGAGGUGUCUCCAUCAUUGGGGCAAAGUCUUAUGUAAGCCACGUGACGGCAACCAGUGGUCUCUCAUCUUCCACCGUGGAGGGGCCUCCUUCCCUUUGGUCCAGUGCUUACUGGUUCACGCCCCGUCCCACAUUCGGACACCAUCUGGCCUCCGCAUCCGGGUUUCUGGAGGUUCCUUAGGAAGCCUUGCGUUCUGCUCACCAGGCCGGGCCUCAGAGAAUUCUCGGACGUGGACUUCCCAUGUUUAGCAGCUUGCUUUCCCGGACCCCCUCUUUUCUCAGGCUCUUUCUCUCCCUUCCGCCCCAGUGUCAAAUGCAGCUCCUCGUCCACCAGACACCCUGUCACAAGGCUGCAGGACGUGGCCUGCUUUGCCGCAGGCUCGAGAGUGAUGGGCUGGAGCUACAAGUGAAUGUUACACUGUCCUGAUCUGAGUCUGACCUUCCUCCUCAGGCCCUAGGGUCCUCGCUCUGCCCUUGGGUCCUCUAGUUCUCCACACCCGCUCCUGUCACCACAGCUCCUCUCCCGUGCCCCCACCCCCAGGCCACCCUCGCCCUCCCUGGGCAGCCCCAAAGUCUCCCAUUCUGCCCACUUGAUUUGCUGCAGUGUGUUCUAAGCUCUUUCUUCCUGGGCAAACUAUGCCAAGGUGGCCUGUCCUCCCUCCACCAAAUGGCCCACCAAACCCAUGAGGAAAUGUUCAUCCUUAAGGAUGUAAGAGAGAAGCAACCAUCUACAAGCAGAAAGGAGUGAUGCCGCUCUGUGAUAAGGCCUUGACUAAUAAUUUGGGGAUUGGCCUUAUUUCUCAUUAAACUCAGCUUGCUCUGUUCCAGUCUAAGACCACGCAGGGUCUUUGUUGCCCCAUACUUAGGUUCAAAUACAUAUCACAUGCCUUUAGUGCCAGUCAUUCCAGUGAGCUCUACAGAUUCAAGAGCGAACAAGCCAGGCAUGUCCCCAAACACGUGUUGCUGGUGGAGAAGGGCAGGUGGGGGCCUAUCCAGAACCCCAGAACAUGCUCAGGCCCCUCGCUCCAGCCACAUUCUGUUUUACCUCUGGAAAUUCGGGUUGGACCAACAGGCAAGGCCUGGAGAAGAACUUGUGCCUUACAAGCUUGGAGACCACAGAGCUCAGAAUAUCGUUGGGGAUGCUAGGGUCCCAGAUGCUCAAGUGAAGCCUUGCAGUUACCACCCCACUGGAAAUUGACUCCAGACCUGGCUCUGGG